This 784-nucleotide small RNA is filed under the name Pan troglodytes (chimpanzee). RNAcentral describes it as "retained intron". Lineage: Eukaryota; Metazoa; Chordata; Mammalia; Primates; Hominidae. The record is from RNAcentral.
AUUCCUUGAGGGAAGAAGAAAGGAGAGAAUCUGCUGCAGCAGACGCUGGCUUUGCUCUCUUUGAGAAGAAGGUAAUAGCAGGAAUGGCCAGUACGUCAUGAUGGGAACUUACCUAAAACUUGAGUCUCAUGGCUUGUCCUCUGUUUCCCAGGGAGCCUUAGCUGAAAGGCAGCAGCUCAUCCCAGAAUUGGUGCGAAAUGGAGAUGAGGAGAAUCCCCUCAAAAGGGGUCUGGUUGCUGCUUACAGUGGUGACAGUGACAAUGAGGAGGAGCUGGUGGAGAGACUUGAGAGUGAGGAAGAGAAGCUAGCUGACUGGAAGAAGAUGGCCUGUCUGCUCUGCCGGCGCCAGUUCCCGAACAAAGAUGCCCUAGUCAGGCACCAGCAACUCUCAGACCUUCACAAGCAAAACAUGGACAUCUACCGACGAUCCAGGCUGAGCGAGCAGGAGCUGGAAGCCUUGGAGCUAAGGGAGAGAGAGAUGAAAUACCGAGACCGAGCUGCAGAAAGACGGGAGAAGUAUGGCAUUCCAGAACCUCCAGAGCCCAAGCGCAAGAAGCAGUUUGAUGCCGGCACUGUGUAUGUGAUGUGCACAUUUUCCAGUUCGUAAGCUGGGGCCCUGGCUGUUUUAAGUAACUGUGUGUUUGCCACUGGCAGGAAUUACGAGCAACCCACCAAAGAUGGCAUUGACCACAGUAACAUUGGCAACAAGAUGCUGCAGGCCAUGGGCUGGCGGGAAGGCUCUGGCUUGGGACGAAAGUGUCAAGGCAUUACGGCUCCCAUUGAG